RNAcentral lists this non-coding RNA (180 nucleotides) under Anaerolineae bacterium. Lineage: Bacteria; Bacillati; Chloroflexota; Anaerolineae. The record is from RNAcentral.
AAUACCGUGCAACACAGAGGUCGCCCCAGGCCCGGAAGCCCGGCGACAAUGGGGGAAGACCGGUGGCACCUGCUAAGCGCCCGCUAGGGUGCUGAGCACGUCGAGUCCGGCGCUGUCCCGCAACUGUGAUCUCGGCCCGGCCGAGAGAGCCAGAAGACCCGCCUCUGUGAUGCUCCUGGA